Molecule: non-coding RNA, 135 nt
Organism: Gossypium raimondii (Peruvian cotton)
Lineage: Eukaryota; Viridiplantae; Streptophyta; Magnoliopsida; Malvales; Malvaceae
Source: Rfam
AAAAAAAAAAUUCAUUCAUUUCUAUUGUUAAAAACUGACAAAAUAACAAAUAUUGACAUGUGGCAUGUCAUUUGUACCUCAUGUUGAUGUACAAGGACCAACUUUUAACAGUAAAAAUGAAUAAAUUUUUUAAUA